RNAcentral lists this ribosomal RNA (352 nucleotides) under uncultured bacterium. Its description in RNAcentral is "bacterial SSU rRNA". It matches the Rfam family "Bacterial small subunit ribosomal RNA", at positions 22 to 356 of the family's 1533-position model. The record is from RNAcentral.
GCUCAGGACGAACGCUGGCGGCGUGCCUAACACAUGCAAGUCGAGCGAAGCGGUUUUAAGGAAGUUUUCGGAUGGAAUUAAAACUGACUGAGCGGCGGACGGGUGAGUAACGCGUGGGUAACCUGCCUCAUACAGGGGGAUAACAGUUAGAAAUGGCUGCUAAUACCGCAUAAGCACACAGCUUCGCAUGGAGCAGUGUGAAAAACUCCGGUGGUAUGAGAUGGACCCGCGUCUGAUUAGCUAGUUGGUAAGGUAACGGCUUACCAAGGCGACGAUCAGUAGCCGACCUGAGAGGGUGACCGGCCACAUUGGGACUGAGACACGGCCCAAACUCCUACGGGAGGCAGCAGUA